GUGAGGAAUAUUGGUCAAUGGGCGAGAGCCUGAACCAGCCAAGUCGCGUGAAGGAAGAAGGAUCUAUGGUUCGUAAUCUUCUUUUGCAGGGGAAUAAAGUGCAGGACGUGUCCUGUUUUGUAUGUACCCUGAGAAUAAGGAUCGGCUAACUCCGUGCCAGCAGCCGCGGUAAUACGGAGGAUCCGAGCGUUAUCCGGAUUUAUUGGGUUUAAAGGGUGCGUAGGUGGUUUGAUAAGUCAGCGGUGAAAGUUUGCAGCUUAACUGUAAAAAUGCCGUUGAAACUGUCGGACUUGAGUGUAAAUGAGGUAGGCGGAAUGCGUGGUGUAGCGGUGAAAUGCAUAGAUAUCACGCAGAACUCCGAUUGCGAAGGCAGCUUACUAAGCUACAACUGACACUGAAGCACGAAAGCGUGGGGAUCAAACAGGAUUAGAUACCCUGGUAGUCC
RNAcentral lists this ribosomal RNA (445 nucleotides) under uncultured bacterium. Its description in RNAcentral is "partial 16S ribosomal RNA". It matches the Rfam family "Bacterial small subunit ribosomal RNA", at positions 354 to 796 of the family's 1533-position model. The record is from RNAcentral.